UACAGAGGGUGCGAGCGUUAAUCGGAAUUACUGGGCGUAAAGCGCGCGUAGGUGGUUAUACAAGUUGGGUGUGAAAUCCCUGGGCUUAACCUAGGAAUUGCAUUCAAAACUAUAUGACUUGAGUGAAGUAGAGGUAAGUGGAAUUUCCGGAGUAGCGGUGAAAUGCGUAGAUACCGGAAGGAACACCAGUGGCGAAGGCGACUUACUGGGCUUUAACUGACACUGAGGUGCGAAAGCGUGGGGAGCAAACAGG
RNAcentral lists this ribosomal RNA (253 nucleotides) under uncultured bacterium. Its description in RNAcentral is "partial 16S ribosomal RNA". It matches the Rfam family "Bacterial small subunit ribosomal RNA", at positions 524 to 776 of the family's 1533-position model. The record is from RNAcentral.